This 253-nucleotide ribosomal RNA is filed under the name uncultured bacterium. RNAcentral describes it as "partial 16S ribosomal RNA". It matches the Rfam family "Bacterial small subunit ribosomal RNA", at positions 524 to 776 of the family's 1533-position model. The record is from RNAcentral.
UACGUAGGGUGCGAGCGUUAAUCGGAAUUACUGGGCGUAAAGCGUGCGUAGGUGGUGAGUUAAGUCUAAUGUGAAAUCCCCGGGCUCAACCUGGGAAUGGCAUUGGAUACUGGCUCACUAGAGUGCGGUAGAGGGUGGUGGAAUUCCCGGUGUAGCAGUGAAAUGCGUAGAGAUCGGGAGGAACAUCUGUGGCGAAGGCGGCCACCUGGACCAACGCUGACACUGAGGCACGAAAGCGUGGGGAGCAAACAGG